This is a non-coding RNA of Acanthosepion pharaonis, 102 nucleotides long. NCBI's taxonomy places the organism in Eukaryota, Metazoa, Mollusca, Cephalopoda, Sepiida, Sepiidae. The record is from the annotation of a GenBank genome assembly.
GUCCAUAUCACGUUAAAACAUUGGUUCACGUACAAUCACCGAAGUUAAGCAACGUCGAGCCUUGUCAGUACCUAGAUGGUUGACCUUUUGGGAAUAGCUUGG